Molecule: long non-coding RNA, 493 nt
Filed under: Ananas comosus (pineapple)
Lineage: Eukaryota; Viridiplantae; Streptophyta; Magnoliopsida; Poales; Bromeliaceae
Description: long non-coding RNA (ACOM_LNC023022)
Source: RNAcentral
AUUAAGAAAAGAAUAAAUUUAAAUCUAUAUUUGUACUUAUCCUUAAUGGUUAUUAUAUUAUUAAAAAGCGAAUUAUAUUCCUCUAUAUAAUAUACGGGAGUUUUUAGAAAACUUUAGCCGUCAUCUCUCUGCUUCCCUUUCUUCUACCUUGUAGCAAGAAGGACGUCAUUUGUAAGGGAGCUAGCAUCUCGAUGAGGAUAUCGAUCAAAGCACCAAUCUCGUGUGGAUACCUAUAGAAGCUGGACGCGCGUGCGGCUUUAAGAGAAUAUAAUUUCACGAUCAUCAAAUUGAGGUGAAAAUCUACCCGCACAAAGGUAAAGAUCGGAUCUUGUUUUUCUCCUUAAUCUUAAAGAAUAUGAAGGAUCCUAAUUGCGUGAUUUUGAGAUCGGAUCUCAAGAGUUUUUCAAAAUCAAAUUUGUUUUAUUUUAUUUUCGCUGUGUUUUUACCGUACAUAAUUUUCUAACACUGAUGGCGGACAACACUUGUUGGUGUU